CUGUGUCUUUGAUGUAAGUCGCUCUGGAUAAGAGCGUCUGCUAAAUGACUUAAA
Non-coding RNA from Salmo salar (Atlantic salmon), 54 nucleotides. The record is from Rfam. NCBI's taxonomy places the organism in Eukaryota, Metazoa, Chordata, Actinopteri, Salmoniformes, Salmonidae.